RNAcentral lists this ribosomal RNA (253 nucleotides) under uncultured bacterium. Its description in RNAcentral is "partial 16S ribosomal RNA". It matches the Rfam family "Bacterial small subunit ribosomal RNA", at positions 524 to 776 of the family's 1533-position model. The record is from RNAcentral.
UACGAACUGUGCGAACGUUAUUCGGAAUUACUGGGUGUAAAGGGUUCGUAGGCGGUGUGGCAAGUCGGGAGUGAAAUCUCUGGGCUCAACCCAGAGUCUGCUUCCGAAACUGCUGUGCUUGAGUGUGGGAGAGGCGCGUGGAAUUGCAGGUGUGGCGGUGAAAUGCGUAGAUAUCUGCAGGAACACCCGUGGCGAAAGCGGCGCGCUGGACCACAACUGACGCUGAGGAACGAAAGCUAGGGGAGCAAACAGG